This 253-nucleotide ribosomal RNA is filed under the name uncultured bacterium. RNAcentral's name for it is "partial 16S ribosomal RNA". It matches the Rfam family "Bacterial small subunit ribosomal RNA", at positions 524 to 776 of the family's 1533-position model. The record is from RNAcentral.
UACGGGGGGGGUAAGCGUUGUUCGGAAUUACUGGGCGUAAAGGGCUCGUAGGCGGCCAACUAAGUCAGACGUGAAAUCCCCCGGCUUAACCUGGGAACUGCGUCUGAUACUGGAAGGCUUGAGUGCGGGAGAGGGAUGUGGAAUUCCAGGUGUAGCGGUGAAAUGCGUAGAUAUCUGGAGGAACACCGGUGGCGAAGGCGGCAUCCUGGACCGACACUGACGCUGAGGCGCGAAAGCUAGGGUAGCAAACGGG